CAACGUGUAGCUCAACAGCAGAGCACCCGGCUUCGGUCCGGGAGGAAGCGGGGGCGGCACCCGCCACGUUGG
This 72-nucleotide transfer RNA is filed under the name Nocardiopsis sp. Huas11. RNAcentral describes it as "tRNA-Arg". It matches the Rfam family "tRNA". Rfam says of the family: Transfer RNA (tRNA) molecules are approximately 80 nucleotides in length. Their secondary structure includes four short double-helical elements and three loops (D, anti-codon, and T loops). The record is from RNAcentral. Lineage: Bacteria; Bacillati; Actinomycetota; Actinomycetes; Streptosporangiales; Nocardiopsidaceae.